CCUCAGAUUACAGCCUGAGGAACUCUUUCCAGGUCCCUUUCACGAGAACACUGUCCCCUCUGACUGCAGUGACUUUUAUCCCCCGCCCCUUCUCCCGCCUCCCUCACCAGGGCGCACACGCUCCUUGGCCCGGGUCGGCUGGCUGUGAUUGGCGGCGGCGGCCCCAACAGAUGACAGAGGAGACAAAGUGAUGGCUGCAGGUCGUCUGAGGUCCCACCCCGGCCACGUGCGGCUUCUGUGAUGACAGGUCCAGGAGGGUGGGGCUUUUUGCCUGACCAGCUACAACCCCAAAAUGACCAGAUCCAGCCGCCGGUGGGGAGCCAGAGCUCUGGCCAAAACUCAGUGCUGGAGUUCCUGAGGUCUGGCUGGUGUGAGGAACUUGAGCUUGAGCUUCCAUAAGGACUACUGACGCUCCUUGAAGCAGAGGCAGGUGGAUCUCUGUGAGUUCGAGGACAGCCUGGUCUGCAGAGCUUGUUCCAGGAUGGCCAGGGCUACCCAAAGAAACCCUGUCUCGAAAAACAAAACGAAACAAAAAGUAGAAAAACACAAAUGAAAAUACAUGAUACUGUUACUUGAAAUGUAAAAAUAUUGAAAUGGGGCUAUGUGAACCUGAAAUUGAUGAAGAAAAGUAUUUUGCCUUGUAAAAUUACUGAGUGAACUUUGUGAAAGCCAAUGCUUUGCAAAGUAGUAAAUAGGUCUUGAGUGUUCUACAGAAGCAGGAGGGUAGAAGGAUGUAACACAGAUACCAGUAGGUGGCAGCACACGGACACUUGUAGAACUAAGUGAGGCUAG
RNAcentral lists this long non-coding RNA (792 nucleotides) under Cricetulus griseus (Chinese hamster). RNAcentral describes it as "lncRNA (ENSCGRG00015042989.1)". The record is from RNAcentral. Lineage: Eukaryota; Metazoa; Chordata; Mammalia; Rodentia; Cricetidae.